Ribosomal RNA from Danio rerio (zebrafish), 115 nucleotides. Lineage: Eukaryota; Metazoa; Chordata; Actinopteri; Cypriniformes; Danionidae. The record is from Ensembl.
GCUGGCAGCUAGCUCUCGGCAGCUCUCACAUGGUCGCCCACUGAAGCUAAGCAGGGCUGCCCCUGGUCAGUACCUGGAUGUGAGACCACAUGGGAAAGCUGGGUUGCUGCCGGAA